CAGUUCAGAUUGCAGGCUGCAACCCGCCUGCAUGAAGUCGGAAUUGCUAGUAAUCGCGGAUCAGCAUGCCGCGGUGAAUACGUUCCCGGGCCUUGUACACACCGCCCGUCAAGCCAUGGGAGCCGGGGGCGCCUGAAGUCCGGGACCGCGAGGACCGGCCUAGGGCGAAACUGGUAACUGGGGCUAAGUCGUAACAAGGUAUC
Molecule: ribosomal RNA, 203 nt
Filed under: uncultured bacterium
Lineage: Bacteria
Description: partial 16S ribosomal RNA
Rfam family: Bacterial small subunit ribosomal RNA
Source: RNAcentral